GAUGAACGCUGGCGGCGUGCCUAAUACAUGCAAGUCGAGCGAACAGACGAGGAGCUUGCUCCUCUGACGUUAGCGGCGGACGGGUGAGUAACACGUGGAUAACCUACCUAUAAGACUGGGAUAACUUCGGGAAACCGGAGCUACUACCGGCUAAUAUAUUGAACCGCAUGGUUCAAUAGUGAAAGACGGUUUUGCUGUCACUUAUAGAUGGAUCCGCGCCGCAUUAGCUAGUUGGUAAGGUAACGGCUUACCAAGGCGACGAUGCGUAGCCGACCUGAGAGGGUGAUCGGCCACACUGGAACUGAGACACGGUCCAGACUCCUACGGGAGGCAGCAGUAGGGAAUCUUCCGCAAUGGGCGAAAGCCUGACGGAGCAACGCCGCGUGAGUGAUGAAGGUCUUCGGAUCGUAAAACUCUGUUAUUAGGGAAGAACAAAUGUGUAAGUAACUAUGCACGUCUUGACGGUACCUAAUCAGAAAGCCACGGCUAACUACGUG
RNAcentral lists this ribosomal RNA (497 nucleotides) under uncultured bacterium. RNAcentral describes it as "partial 16S ribosomal RNA". It matches the Rfam family "Bacterial small subunit ribosomal RNA", at positions 28 to 507 of the family's 1533-position model. The record is from RNAcentral.